RNAcentral lists this ribosomal RNA (468 nucleotides) under uncultured bacterium. Its description in RNAcentral is "partial 16S ribosomal RNA". It matches the Rfam family "Bacterial small subunit ribosomal RNA", at positions 28 to 507 of the family's 1533-position model. The record is from RNAcentral.
GACGAACGCUGGCGGCGUGCUUAACACAUGCAAGUCGAACGGAAAGGCCCUGCUUUUGUGGGGUGCUCGAGUGGCGAACGGGUGAGUAACACGUGAGUAACCUGCCCUUGACUUUGGGAUAACUUCAGGAAACUGGGGCUAAUACCGGAUAGGAGCUCCUGCUGCAUGGUGGGGGUUGGAAAGUUUCGGCGGUUGGGGAUGGACUCGCGGCUUAUCAGCUUGUUGGUGGGGUAGUGGCUUACCAAGGCUUUGACGGGUAGCCGGCCUGAGAGGGUGACCGGCCACAUUGGGACUGAGAGACGGCCCAGACUCCUACGGGAGGCAGCAGUGGGGAAUAUUGCGCAAUGGGCGGAAGCCUGAGGCAGCAACGCCGCGUGCGGGAUGACGGCCUUCGGGUUGUAAACCGCUUUCGCCGGUGACGAAGCGUGAGUGACGGUAAUGGGUAAAGAAGCACCGGCUAACUACGUG